This is a non-coding RNA of Deltaproteobacteria bacterium, 73 nucleotides long. Lineage: Bacteria; Pseudomonadati; Myxococcota; Myxococcia. The record is from Rfam.
GGGGCCGUAGCUCAGUUGGGAGAGCGCUUGAAUGGCAUUCAAGAGGUCGGGGGUUCGACUCCCCUCGGCUCCA